GAUUAAGCCAUGCAUGUGUAAGUAUAAAUAAUUGACUUUGAAACUGCGAAUGGCUCAUUAUAUCAGUUAUAGUUUAUUUGGUGAAGGAUACUAAUUGGAUAACCGUAGUAAUUCUAGGGCUAAUACAUGAGUAAAGUCCCAUUGGGAUGUGUUUAUUAGAAUGAAAACCAUAUGCUUCGGCAUGAUAGUGAGUAAUAGUAACCUAUCGUAUCGCAUGCUUAAAGUAGCGAUGAGUCUUUCAAGUUUCUGCCCUAUCAUCUUUCUAUGGUAGCAUAUGGGUCUACCAUG
This 288-nucleotide ribosomal RNA is filed under the name Blastocystis hominis. RNAcentral describes it as "partial small subunit ribosomal RNA". It matches the Rfam family "Eukaryotic small subunit ribosomal RNA", at positions 42 to 348 of the family's 1831-position model. Lineage: Eukaryota; Bigyra; Opalinata; Blastocystidae. The record is from RNAcentral.